AGCAGAACAAUGAUUAUGGUGAACUUCAGAAACAAAAGAAAAGCACCCACCAUAAUUAGCUAAAAGAUACCUCUAACCUUGUAUCUCAGAAUUAACACGAGUGGGUAAAUCUCUAUGUAUUCUCUCCACACCUAUCCAAGUUUCUGUUUAACUUAAAAAACACCACCUAAAAUAAGUCUUACUAACCAAGGCAGUCAGUGGAAAAUAGUCAA
RNAcentral lists this unclassified non-coding RNA (212 nucleotides) under Hevea brasiliensis (rubber tree). The record is from RNAcentral. Lineage: Eukaryota; Viridiplantae; Streptophyta; Magnoliopsida; Malpighiales; Euphorbiaceae.